CCUACGGGGGGCAGCAGUGAGGAAUAUUGGUCAAUGGCCGUAAGGCUGAACCAGCCAAGUCGCGUGAAGGAAGAAGGAUCUAUGGUUUGUAAACUUCUUUUAUAGGGGAAUAAAGGUAUCCACGUGUGGAUAUUUGCAUGUACCCUAUGAAUAAGCAUCGGCUAACUCCGUGCCAGCAGCCGCGGUAAUACGGAGGAUGCGAGCGUUAUCCGGAUUUAUUGGGUUUAAAGGGUGCGUAGGUUGUUUUUUAAGUCAGCGGUGAAAGUUUGUGGCUCAACCAUAAAAUUGCCGUUGAAACUGGAAGACUUGAGUGUGUUUGAGGUAGGCGGAAUGCGUGGUGUAGCGGUGAAAUGCAUAGAUAUAACGAAGAACUCCGAUUGCGAAGGCAGCUUACUAAGCCAUAACUGACACUGAAGCACGAAAGCGUGGGGAGCAAACAGGAUUAGAUACCCUAGUAGUC
Molecule: ribosomal RNA, 460 nt
Filed under: uncultured bacterium
Lineage: Bacteria
Description: partial 16S ribosomal RNA
Rfam family: Bacterial small subunit ribosomal RNA
Source: RNAcentral